AAGGGUGAAUUUGGCGAUUUAAGUGCCUUUCAAUUGAUAGCCUGUCGAGUGAUGACCUUUCACCCGUCACGUCAGAUCGUGAAGCGACCCGUUAUUUUCUCAAACACAUUACACACACCAAGUCAAAUCAGCUCUGUUAUUUUCCGUUUUUUCGACUGUUUACCCGUACCUUGGAGACAUCAUGCCUCGUCGGUGUGUUGUAGGAGGGUGUAACAACACGAACAGAGAUGGAUUCAAGUUGCAACAGUGGUCAAAAGAAGCGAAAGUCCCUUGUUUGUUCCGCACACUUUACAGACGACAGCUAUGCUACGACAGAGAUGGCAAGAAUGUGUGGAUAUCCUGCGACACUCAUUUCCAACGAUAAAGUCAACGAAAUCACAAAGUCCCCUCCCGGUCAUCAGUUGCAGGUGUGCUGCCAGUCAUCUGAGCCCACCUGCAUCUAAUCAACAACCUGACUUAAACCCUGGAUCUCCACCCAGCCAGUAUGGUGAACAGACUUUUGACCCAGUUUUCCUGGAGCUGAUUUGUUGUUACUAUUGAAUUAUUUUCUACAGUGAUUUUUGGUUAUUAAAUAGAUUUUUUUACUGAUCCGCACUUGGAUUCCUUUUUUGAGACCUUAACAGUAUUAAUGUUUUGGCAAUCAAAUCACCGUUUUGAGGUCUUUAAAAUGCCUCAAACCUGUCACAUAACAUGCUCAGUAACAGAAAGUGGGAAAGAUCGUAAAGAAAAAUCAUGCUCAUCAUGACAGGAUGCAGAAAAAUCAUGUGUG
This is a long non-coding RNA of Nerophis ophidion (straightnose pipefish), 769 nucleotides long. RefSeq lists it as uncharacterized. The transcript is spliced from 3 exons. NCBI's taxonomy places the organism in Eukaryota, Metazoa, Chordata, Actinopteri, Syngnathiformes, Syngnathidae. The record is from RefSeq and is a predicted model, not a curated record.